CGGGUGAGUAACACGUGGGUAACCUACCCAUCAGAGGGGGAUAACACUUGGAAACAGGUGCUAAUACCGCAUAACAGUUUAUGCCGCAUGGCAUAAGAGUGAAAGGCGCUUUCGGGUGUCGCUGAUGGAUGGACCCGCGGUGCAUUAGCUAGUUGGUGAGGUAACGGCUCACCAAGGCCACGAUGCAUAGCCGACCUGAGAGGGUGAUCGGCCACACUGGGACUGAGACACGGCCCAGACUCCUACGGGAGGCAGCAGU
Molecule: ribosomal RNA, 259 nt
Filed under: Enterococcus faecalis
Lineage: Bacteria; Bacillati; Bacillota; Bacilli; Lactobacillales; Enterococcaceae
Description: partial 16S ribosomal RNA
Rfam family: Bacterial small subunit ribosomal RNA
Source: RNAcentral